AUGAUGUGUCCAUAGAAAUUUCAAAAUACAAUUCCAUGAAUUUAAAUCCUAUUAAUCGAGAAUUUCAUUGUUUGGAUUUCAUGAUGUAGAGUUUUAAAAUGACAAGAAUUUGUAUUCAGACUAAUCUUAGUUAAAGAAAUUGACAAAUGAUGCUUAUUUUGUGAGGAAUUCAAGUCGGGAAUUUAAGUUCCUAAAUUUCACGAUUAUUUUCCUGUGAAAAUUGCUAAUUCCAUAAGAUAAGUAUCCAAACGAGGAAAACCGUCCUAAGAAAUUAGGAAUUCCUUAUUUUUUAUUAAAUUCUCAGAAAUUCACCCACAUCCAAACACACCGUAAAUGUAUAUACCGCGCCAAGGCGCGGGUAUAAUUCUAGUGUAGCUCUAAAUAUUAGUAAUCUGUAAAUAGUAAUCAUAUCCAGUUACCAAUAACAUCUCAGAAUUUUAGUCGAUCGAGCUCUCUAAUCCGUUCUUCUAUAAAUAAUUUUCCACCCCCUCAAAUGCUAAUGAAUCCAAUCGAGACAGACACAACAGUACGUUUCCAACCGAUACCUCUCUCGCAUAAAAAAGAAUGAUUUGAAGAUCGGUAAUUCACGUGUCAAGAGGUUGCUAGCUGUUGUAAUAUUCAAGAUGUUGUUUUGG
RNAcentral lists this long non-coding RNA (635 nucleotides) under Fragaria vesca (wild strawberry). RNAcentral describes it as "long non-coding RNA (FVES_LNC003809)". The record is from RNAcentral. Lineage: Eukaryota; Viridiplantae; Streptophyta; Magnoliopsida; Rosales; Rosaceae.